This 1585-nucleotide long non-coding RNA is filed under the name Phoenix dactylifera (date palm). Its description in RNAcentral is "long non-coding RNA (PDAC_LNC010432)". Lineage: Eukaryota; Viridiplantae; Streptophyta; Magnoliopsida; Arecales; Arecaceae. The record is from RNAcentral.
GGUCAACAUUUGUUUCCUCUCCCAAAAUAAUUCGGCCAAAACACUUGAAUUCCGAUUGGGUGGGGGGAUUCUUUGUGAGCAUGAUGUGGGAGUGGUGCUCAUUCGAAAUGGACAACACAACCUCCAAAUGUCUCUUAGGUGGCUCUAUGAGUCGGGAAGGGAUCAAAAUACCAUCAUAAGAAGAAAGAGAAAGCUUUCUUAAGCAAGGCCAAAAUACCUCCUCCGUUGAAGCUUGAAAGAUGGACGGUCCUUCCACCCUCGACAAGGUAUGUAAAGGGGGGUCGGCCUCCUCCUUUUUAGUGCUAUAUUUGGCCUCACCAUCAAGCCCAAGCUCUUCACUUUCUUCCUCUAAAUUUUCAGUCUUAGUGGCUUCAUCUUUGCUUCCUGCUUGUCCCAUCUUGUUUUCCUCGUAAUUGGCCCUCAAGUUUUUGAGCAUGGGAAAGCUCCUUCUUAGGUUGUCUCAUAUGAUCAUGGCUUGCCCCNNNNNNNNNNNNNNNNNNNNCCUUUUUAGUGCUAUAUUUGGCCUCACCAUCAAGCCCAAGCUCUUCACUUUCUUCCUCUAAAUUUUCAGUCUUAGUGGCUUCAUCUUUGCUUCCUGCUUGUCCCAUCUUGUUUUCCUCGAAUUGGCCCUCAAGUUUUUGAGCAUGGGAAAGCUCCUUCUUAGGUUGUCUCAUAUGAUCAUGGCUUGCCCCAAUCUUCAUAUUCUCUCGGGCCUUAUCUAACUCCCUUCUUAUUAUCAUCAAUUGGCCCUCUCUCCACCUAUUUUCCCCAUAGCCAUGCUCCCCAUGGUGGCUAGCAUAGCUACUUGCUCCUUGAGUACUCCUAUACUCCCAACUCCUUAUCUUUUCUUCUCUUCUUUUUUCUUCAUCUCUCCUCACUUCUUUCUCCCUUCUUCUUUCUUCUUUUCUUCUUUCUUCUCUCAUCCUUAUGAACUCAUUUUUCCUCUCUCUUUCUUCCCUAUCCCUUAGAUCCUUUCUAAUUUUGGAUAGGGUCUCAUUUGCCCUCUUUAAACAAGCCUCACUCUCCUCUGUGAUGUUUACCAUGUUAACCCAAUUCUUUCACUUUAACCCUCUGGACUCCAUAAAAAAAAUUUUGUUCUCCAAAUCACCUCUUCUAACCUCCUUUGGUCGUCACCCAAGGGAUGAACCGACCCUUCCCUUUUAUAAAAAUUUGGAAUGAACACCACUCAAUCUUCUCCAAUUACAACAAAGAUUACAACAAGUAAAACUCUCUCUUUCUCCCAAGAGAGAUGUUUUGAAACUCUAUUUGCUCCCUACCUGAUGUAGUUGGAAAAGGGCACGAGGUACUACCACUAGCCUCCCUCUUGUACCGUCCCUAAUGUACCCUACAACGAAUAGUUGGGUCAAAUAGUGCCGGGUACUACCAUUAGCCUCCCUAUUGGCACCAUCCCUAUGAUGAGCAAGGUAGAGAUCAACCCGUUCCCUUUCAUAAAAAAAAAUGCUCACUCCUCUUUUGCAAAUAAGAAUGGUAAGUUGCGAAAAUUUAAGAAACCAAUGCAUGCAUAAUAAACUUCUAAUGUACCCUUCCACAAGCCCAACAAUUAAUAUGAAGGUAUCAUGAAGCA